AAGAAGUUCUCUUAGAGUUGUUAUGUAUAGAUGAAAUUUGGGUCAACCAUAUUUUGUGGACAACUGAUAUCCCCUCAAAAUACAACUCAGUUCAUCUUCAGUAAACAACAAACAUGAAAUGGCAUCUGCAAUUAUCACUGGUCAAAGAAAGAUUAUUCAAUAAAAAUAAAAAUGGGAAUGUAAGGCUUUUUUUUUUUUAAUAAAUAAAAUUGUCCCAGAUAUAGUGGGGGUGUUGUAUUAUCAAAAAUCAGAGUUUCGUUAUUACAACACAAGGUACACCCUUCAAAAGAUGAGGCAUAGGCGAUUAUAAAUAGUUCCCCCGCCUCUAAUCACUAUUAGAAUUGGGCCAAAAAGCAACCAAAAUUUGGCGACCAAAUUUUGUCUGUCAAGAAAAGCAACCAAAGAAGGUCGUCAAACUACCGAAAAUAAUAAAAAAAAUAUUUGUUAAUAAUUUAGCGACCAAUUUGGACGCAAAUUUAGUCAAACUGUUGACUGGAUUGGUCAGACUUGCUUGGUCAAAGAUAUACUGAGUUUAGCGACCAAUGUUGGUCGCAAAAGUGGGACCCACAUAAUUUUUUUUAAUAAUUUUAUUAUUAUUUUAUGAAACUUAUAAAAUAUAAAUAUUUAUAUAAUUUAAAAUUUGCGACCAAAGUUGGUCGCUAACUGAAGAAUAAGAUGAUAGUGACCAACUUUAAUCUCUAAAGUGGGACCCAGUUAUAAUAUUUUAAUAAAUAUAUAUUUUAAAAAAUUUAUAAAAUAUAAAUAAAGAUAAUUCUAAAUUUAGCGACCAAAGUUGAUCGCUUAAGGAAAUAGAGAGCAACGUUGGUAGCCAAUGUGAGACCUAGUUCUAACGCUUAACAAUUUUUAUUAUUAAUUUAAAAAUUAUAUAAAAUAUAAAUAAAUCUGAUUAAAUUUAGUGACCUAAUUUGGUCUCUAAAUUAAAUUCAUUUAAAAUUAGGGACAAAAGUUUCUCUCUAUAUGGUCAAAAUUUAAAAUUAUUUUAGUAUUUACUAUGUAAAUAUUAUAAAUAUAAGUCGUUAAUACUUUAGUAAUACAAGGGAUGAAUAGUACUAUGAAGCGGGCGUGUGUGUGUAUAUAUACAAUAUAUAUAUACUUACUCUAUAUUAUGCACUAAGAAUAAGUGUAUUAGGUAAUACCAUGUCGAAUAUUUAUAUAUAUAUACCAUGUCGAAUUAUUUUUAAGAGCAUUUCCAUACUUUUGUCGGUCAAAUUAUUGUCUGAAUUUGAAGAAAUAUCAUUCAAUAUCACAUUAAGCUUGAACGGAUCAGAUUUGGAAGAAAUUUGAGCACAAAAUUUCCUAUAAUCUUUGUCAUCAUAGAGUCUUAUGAUCCAGGUUUUAUGGGAACUACGACGACAAACGGAAUAAUUUUCGUCUACAUCAACCUUGUCACUAUCAAUCAAACUUCUUUUCCUCUUGGAAAUUGAAGUAGAGAAUUUCUCAAUAACCUUUUUUAUCUACUUAGGAAAUGUUAAAUCCUACCUACACCAUCACUUUUUUGAAACACAUGUCGUUGCCUUCUUUUUAUCAUUGUAGCUAAUGAGAUAAAUAAUUGAUCAAAGACACACUCCGUCAGAUACCUUAUCCAAGUUAUUCUUUGUAUCAAAGUUCAUCCCGAGUAAUAGUACCACGAGGAUAAUCACCAAAGCCACCAAACAACUUUAUGAUGCCAAUGAAGUAAGAUGAGUUAUUCAAUGAAACUCGUAUUGUAAAGAAGAAGAAAGAGAUUGAUUCAGAAAGGAGGGUCGAGCCUCAACUACAUACAUGUAUGUUUUUUUUUACUUUUUACUAAAUAUUUUUAUUUGCUUUUAUAUAAAUUUUGAAAUACUAAAUCAAUAUAAUUUUUCAUAUAGGUUCAAUUCGCUUCAAAACUGAUGUGGGAAAAUUCAUACGCGAUCAACCACCUAAUGAACCGAGCGAGGCAAUCCAACUUUCAGACGAGGAUGCUGAAAGAACACUCCUUCAGUACUUUAUAUACUAUUGUAUUAAUUCUAUUGUGUUAGAACUAAUUUACUAUUGUGUUAGUUCUACUGUGUUAGAACUAAUUUACAUUGUGUUAGUUCUAUUGUGUUAGAACUAAUUUACACACCAAUUUAAUUGUAUUAGUUCUCUUUAGUUCGAAUAGGCUUGUAAUAAGCGUUAACUUAGUUUUGUUAGCUUAAUGUAUUAGUUUUAUUGAAGUUUAUUCUUUGUUGCUUUUAAUUGCUUUUUAUGGUUGUUGUUGUUGGCAUAAAAUGCCUAGUUAGGAAAUGUGUAUGACUGACAUGUGGUGUAGCUGCAGAAACAGGUUGUUUAUGGCAAAAUAAUACACAAAAAGUGACUAAAGUUGGUCUCUAUUUGGUCGCUUUUCUAGUAAAAAGAAAUUUUCCUCUUAUAUCGAGCUUUAUUCUUUAUUGCUUUUAAUUGCUUUAAAUUGUUGGCAUAAAAUGCCUACUUAAGAAAUUGGUAUGAGUGGCAGGUGGUGUAGCUACCAAAACAGGCAGUUUCUGCCAAAAUAAUACACAGAAAAGCGACCAAAGUUGGUCUCUAUUUGGUCGCUUUUCAUGUAAUAAAAAAUAAUUUUCUGGAGAAUAGCGACAAACUUUGAUCGUUAUUUACCCAGAUUUAUUCAAAAAGCGACCAACCUCGGUCGCUAUUUCAUUAAUAAAAUAAUAUUUCUGGUGAUAUAGCGAUCAAAGUUGGUCGCUAAUAUUAAAAAACUAAAUUAAAUCCAUGUAUUUAGAGACCAAAGUUGGUCGCUAGUUUAAUAAAAUAAAUAAAUAGUUGAAUAAAAAAGCGACCAAUAUUUGUCUCUAGUUUCCAGAUUUUAAAUAUAAUAUUUGGAUUAGAGACCAAAGUUGGUCGCUUUUUUAUAAUUAAUAAUAAAUAAAUAAAUAAUGUAUUUUUUAUUUAGAGACCAACUUUGGUCGCCAAAUUUAUAUUAUUAAAUUAAUAAAGCGACCAAAGUUGGUAUCUAUAGUCAAUGUACGGAAAAAUGGGUCCAUUUAGCUUAGAAAAUUAGCGACCAACUUUGGUCCCUAAAUAAAAGGGACCAUCAAUAUAGCCACUAGGCACUUUUGAUCGCUAUUUAGCCAAAAACGGGAAUAGUUGGUCGUUUUUUGCGGUCUUUUUUCUCAUAAUUCUAGUAGUGAAUUACAAAAAACACCUAGCUAACAAAAAAAUUGACAUUAUCGUAUUUGUUCCUUAUGCUGGGCAUCUAUUCUUUAUCCAGCAUAAGAGGUCCCUUAGCUUCAUUGAGCAGACACUACAACAAAAUUGUCCUAAGGCAACACUUAUCAUAGACAACACUUGAAAAGUGUUGCCAAAAUAACAAAAGAAAUGCUUUUGUAAGGGUGGUCUUUUAUAAGAGCUUUUGGCAACAGAGAUUAGGCGGCACUCAUGAAGUGUGUUCUUUAUGUACAACGACUAAACAGUGUAACCAUUGCCUACAAUUUGAAUUUAACAGACAAAGUUGUAGAAUUUACAUUUUUUUCUAAAUACAUAGUAAUUGAAUUUUUCAGGGAAUUUUUGAUAAUGUCAUUCUGUUAUAGAUUGGGGCAAACUUGGUUAAACGAGUCGUAGGUUUUUUAAUAUAUCUGUGUAUGAAUAAAAAUUUUAUAGGUUUAGCAUGAGAGGCUUGAAAGUGUUAUAUUAGAAUUUUGUUACACUAGCUUAAUCGUCUAAAAUGAUUCAUCUACGUUUGUCCACUUUUACUGAAUGCCAAGGGUAUUUGAAUUGUUAAAUGAUAACAUGAUCGGAACUCACAAAUUUAGUUACACCAGGAUUUUUUGAUGGAACUCAAUUUGAUUGACUUAAUAAAACUAACAACUUUUGUUUUUUUAAUUGAAGAACUAGAAUGAUCUUUAACCACACAAAUUGUUUUAUUGGAUCAGGGGAUAUUUGGCUAAUAAUUACAAGCUUGGAUUUGAUAUAGUGAACAAAUAAGAGUGGUAUAGGAAAUUAUAUAAUUUAGUGAGAUGAUAAACAAAUUGAACAAAAUGGCAGCAAAUAGAAUAUCUUUUAACUUGUAAGUAAACUUCUAAAUUAAAAGGAAGUGAAGGCAGUUUCAUGAUCCUUCAUUACAUGAUUUUAAAAAAAAAGUAAAACCCACUACAAUACCACUCAGUGGUGUCUGGGGAGGGUAGUGUGUAUGCAGUCUUACCCCUACCCUGGGGUAGAGAGGCUGUUUCCAAAUAGACCCCCGGCAUAAAUCCCNNNNNNNNNNNNNNNNNNNNNNNNNNNNNNNNNNNNNNNNNNNNNNNNNNNNNNNNNNNNNNNNNNNNNNNNNNNNNNNNNNNNNNNNNNNNNNNNNNNNNNNNNNNNNNNNNNNNNCGGCAUAAAUCCCCAGAAUUUGCUCCUGGGGAGACUCGAACUCACAACCUCUCGGUUGUAAGUGAGGGUUGGUUACCAUCAGACCAAGCACCUCUUGUCGAUUACAUGAUUUAAUUACUUAUUUAUAAAUUUUCUCUAUGUCUUACUUAUACUACUCUUGAAGUCCUUUUAUGAAACUUGAGCUUCUAUCUCUAUUACUUAGAAGCUCUAAAUAUUGUUGAGUUUGUCAUUCCAUAUUUUCAUGCUAUUUUAUCAUUUCCUCUCCAUAGCUAUGUCUUAUGUAGAUUGCAACCUUAAUCUUUUUCAAUUUUAUGCUUAAUAUUUUACAAUUAAUAAGCAACUAAACUACAUACUAUUACUAAUUUCAAUUAUAGCAUGAUGGCUUGCUUUCAUGUCUCCUUAAAGCUUAGUAAUAGAGUGAAGAAAUUACAGGCUUCCCCCUCCCUUAAUGAACAAAAACCUUCUUUAGUGUAACUUUGCGAUUUGUCUCUCUUUAUGUAAAAAUUAUUCUGUAUGUGUCCUAAGUGAAUUUGUUUUUAAUAUGGUAAAAUUACCUAUCUUUUACCCAGUAUUUAGAAAAACGCACUCUUUAUCGCUUUAAGCGCGACGAGACGCGACCUACUAUCCCUUCCAGCACUGAGAAGACUCGAUCGGAAGAAGCGCACGCUUCACAAGAAAAAGCAAUGAAGCGAUCAAGCGGAUUAAGAGAUGAUGCGAUCGCUUAUUUGCAGAAAAGCGCAGCGGGUAUUUUUUAAAAAAAAAUACUCUGGAUCUAUUAUUCUACAUGGCAAAACAGACCCUAAAUUGACAAAAAAUCCCUUCCCCUUCGACAAAAUUCUUCGACAACACAGAGUCUCACAAAACCUAGGUUUUUUUACCUGCUGAAGAUGAAAUCCAAAAGCAGAGACGCCAUUGCUGACCCUUUCUCUCUCGCUCGCGACUCAGCCAGUUCAGGACCCAUGUAAUUUCUUCUUCUCCUUUCUUCAUUUGUUCUUCAUUUCUUCUCGUUUUUGUUUCCCUCCUCCUCCUUCUUCUUCUUCUUCUUCUUCUUCUCCAUCCGGAACAGAGUAAGUAACAUAGUUAAUUAUUAUAU
RNAcentral lists this long non-coding RNA (5422 nucleotides) under Nicotiana benthamiana. RNAcentral describes it as "long non-coding RNA (NBEN_LNC030518)". Lineage: Eukaryota; Viridiplantae; Streptophyta; Magnoliopsida; Solanales; Solanaceae. The record is from RNAcentral.